AGUUUGAUCCUGGCUCAGAAUGAACGCUGGCGGCGUGCUUAACACAUGCAAGUCGAACNAGAAAGCUUUAGCUUGCUAGAGCGAGUGAAGUGGCGCACGGGUGAGUAACGCGUGGGUAAUCUGCCCUUGAAUUUGGGAUAACACUUCGAAAGGAGUGCUAAUACCGGAUAACAUCUUUUUUAUUGCGGUAGAAAAGAUCAAAGAUAGCCUCUUCUUGAAAGCUAUUGUUUGGGGAUGAGCCCGCGUACCAUUAGCUAGUUGGUGGGGUAAAGGCCUACCAAGGCGACGAUGGUUAGCUGGUCUGAGAGGAUGAUCAGCCACACUGGAACUGGAACACGGUCCAGACUCCUACGGGAGGCAGCAGUGAGGAAUUUUGCGCAAUGGGGGAAACCCUGACGCAGCAACGCCGCGUGAGUGAUGAAGGAUUUCGGUUCGCAAAGCUCUGUCAAGUGGAAAGAAGUUAUAUAUGGUUAAUAGCUGUAUGUAUUGACGGUACCACUGAAGGAAGCACCGGCUAACUCCGUGCCAGCAGCCGCGGUAAUUACAAGGG
Molecule: ribosomal RNA, 550 nt
Filed under: uncultured delta proteobacterium
Lineage: Bacteria; Deltaproteobacteria
Description: bacterial SSU rRNA
Rfam family: Bacterial small subunit ribosomal RNA
Source: RNAcentral